AACGUACAUUACAAGAGGUGACUCAGAAUGCUACCAGUUUUGAGUUGCGUCAAGAAUGAGAGAAGUUUCUGCAGCAGUUUUGGCUUCAGUCGGAGUUCUCUUCAUGGAAAGCAGCUCCUGGCAUGCUACUUGGCUCUAGAAAGACCAAAGGACAUCAGCGGACCACAUGACUGGAGCUCUCCCUCACAAACUUGAUAACCCAAGUCAUAUUGUCUGGUAGGCAGAGCAACCAUUCACUGAACAAUUGGACUAGUCUGUUAUGAGAAGGGAGGGUUGCUGCUACAUAAUAAGGAAGCAAGACAUAUUUUAAAACUUGGGGGGUCCACUGCAGCAUUUCUUUUUAUUCAACCAUAUGCUGAAUUAACUUCAAAUGGUGGAUUACAGCCACCACAGCCUGUUAAGGGCAUAGCAAUCAAGACUGGAGGUCAAGCCACCUAGCCUCAGAGAACGGAUGACAUCAAGAAUGAGGGAUGUUGGGAAUGAGUGGUAGGGGAUGAUGAUGGAUCAGCUACGGCUUUGGCAACUGCAAUAGCGAGAGCCCGUUCUACUGAUCCGUGCCUUUCCACUUUGU
Molecule: long non-coding RNA, 571 nt
Organism: Ailuropoda melanoleuca (giant panda)
Lineage: Eukaryota; Metazoa; Chordata; Mammalia; Carnivora; Ursidae
Exons: 3
Source: RefSeq, a predicted model, not a curated record